RNAcentral lists this ribosomal RNA (229 nucleotides) under uncultured bacterium. Its description in RNAcentral is "partial 16S ribosomal RNA". It matches the Rfam family "Bacterial small subunit ribosomal RNA", at positions 15 to 236 of the family's 1533-position model. The record is from RNAcentral.
GAUCCUGGCUCAGGAUGAACGCUAGCUACAGGCUUAACACAUGCAAGUCGAGGGGAAACGACAUCGAAAGCUUGCUUUUGAUGGGCGUCGACCGGCGCACGGGUGAGUAACGCGUAUCCAACCUGCCCAUCACUUGGGAAUAACCUUGCGAAAGUAAGACUAAUGCCCAAUGACAUCCCACGAAGGCAUCCGAAUGGNUAAGAUUUAUCGGUGAUGGAUGGGGAUGCGU